Molecule: ribosomal RNA, 459 nt
Filed under: uncultured Gammaproteobacteria bacterium
Lineage: Bacteria; Pseudomonadati; Pseudomonadota; Gammaproteobacteria
Description: bacterial SSU rRNA
Rfam family: Bacterial small subunit ribosomal RNA
Source: RNAcentral
CUGAGUCAUUGACGUAACCUACAGAAGAAGCACCGGCUAACUCCGUGCCAGCAGCCGCGGUAAUACGGAGGGUGCGAGCGUUAAUCGGAAUUACUGGGCGUAAAGCGCGCGUAGGCGGUUGUGUAAGUCGGAUGUGAAAGCCCAGGGCUUAACCUUGGAAUUGCAUUCGAAACUGCACGGCUAGAGUAUGGGAGAGGGAAGCGGAAUUUCCGGUGUAGCGGUGAAAUGCGUAGAUAUCGGAAGGUAACAUCAGUGGCGAAGGCGGCUUCCUGGACCAAUACUGACGCUGAGGUGCGAAAGCGUGGGGUAGCGAACAGGAUUAGAUACCCCUGGUAGUCCACGCCGUAAACGAUGACAACUAGAUGUUGGGAGGAUCUGCCUCUCAGUGUCGCAGCUAACGCGUUAAGUUGUCCGCCUGGGGAGUACGCCGGCAACGGUAAAACUCAAAGGAAUUGACGG